This 692-nucleotide ribosomal RNA is filed under the name uncultured bacterium. Its description in RNAcentral is "bacterial SSU rRNA". It matches the Rfam family "Bacterial small subunit ribosomal RNA", at positions 32 to 715 of the family's 1533-position model. The record is from RNAcentral.
AACGCUAGCUACAGGCUUAACACAUGCAAGUCGAGGGGCAGCAUAAAAGUAGCAAUACUUUGGUGGCGACCGGCGCACGGGUGAGUAACGCGUAUGCAACCUACCUAUCAGAGGGGGAUAACCCGGCGAAAGUCGGACUAAUACCGCAUAAAACAGGGGCACCGCAUGGUGCUAUUUGUUAAAAAUUUAUUGCUGAUAGAUGGGCAUGCGUUCCAUUAGGUAGUUGGAGAGGUAACGGCUCACCAAGCCUACGAUGGAUAGGGGAACUGAGAGGUUGGUCCCCCACACUGGUACUGAGACACGGACCAGACUCCUACGGGAGGCAGCAGUGAGGAAUAUUGGUCAAUGGGCGAGAGCCUGAACCAGCCAAGUCGCGUGAAGGAAGAAGGAUCUAUGGUUCGUAAACUUCUUUUGCAGGGGAAUAAAGUGCAGGACGUGUCCUGUUUUGUAUGUACCCUGAGAAUAAGGAUCGGCUAACUCCGUGCCAGCAGCCGCGGUAAUACGGAGGAUCCGAGCGUUAUCCGGAUUUAUUGGGUUUAAAGGGUGCGUAGGUGGUUUAAUAAGUCAGCGGUGAAAGUUUGCAGCUUAACUGUAAAAAUGCCGUUGAAACUGUUAGACUUGUGUGUAAAUGAGGUAGGCGGAAUGCGUGGUGUAGCGGUGAAAUGCUUAGAUAUCACGAAGAACUCCGAUUG